RNAcentral lists this transfer RNA (72 nucleotides) under Myxococcus sp. AM011. RNAcentral describes it as "tRNA-Gln". It matches the Rfam family "tRNA". Rfam says of the family: Transfer RNA (tRNA) molecules are approximately 80 nucleotides in length. The record is from RNAcentral. Lineage: Bacteria; Pseudomonadati; Myxococcota; Myxococcia; Myxococcales; Myxococcaceae.
ACCGGAGUCGUCUAAUCAGCAGGAUGGCGGAUUCUGACUCCGCAGGCGCAGGUGCGAUUCCUGCCUCCGGUU